This 421-nucleotide ribosomal RNA is filed under the name uncultured bacterium. RNAcentral's name for it is "bacterial SSU rRNA". It matches the Rfam family "Bacterial small subunit ribosomal RNA", at positions 355 to 774 of the family's 1533-position model. The record is from RNAcentral.
UAAGGAAUAUUGGUCAAUGGACGCAAGUCUGAACCAGCCAUGCCGCGUGAAGGAUGAAGGUCCUCUGGAUUGUAAACUUCUUUUAUCUGGGACGAAAACGGGAUUUUUAUCUCAAUUGACGGUACCGGAAGAAUAAGCACCGGCUAACUUCGUGCCAGCAGCCGCGGUAAUACGAAGGGUGCAAGCGUUACUCGGAAUUACUGGGCGUAAAGCGUGCGUAGGUGGUUGUUUAAGUCUGAUGUGAAAGCCCUGGGCUCAACCUGGGAAUGGCAUUGGAAACUGGGCAGCUAGAGUGCGGUAGAGGGUAGUGGAAUUCCCGGUGUAGCAGUGAAAUGCGUAGGGAUCGGGAGGAACAUCUGUGGCGAAGGCGACUGCCUGGACCAGCACUGACACUGAGGCACGAAAGCGUGGGGAGCAAACA